GCUCCCGUAGCUCAGCCCGGAUAGAGCGACCGCCUCCUAAGCGGUAGGCCAAGGGUUCAAAUCCCUUUGGGAGCGCCA
RNAcentral lists this transfer RNA (78 nucleotides) under Treponema rectale. Its description in RNAcentral is "tRNA-Arg". It matches the Rfam family "tRNA". From Rfam's summary of the family: Transfer RNA (tRNA) molecules are approximately 80 nucleotides in length. Their secondary structure includes four short double-helical elements and three loops (D, anti-codon, and T loops). Further hydrogen bonds mediate the characteristic L-shaped molecular structure. tRNAs have two regions of fundamental functional importance: the anti-codon, which is responsible for specific mRNA codon recognition, and the 3' end, to which the tRNAs corresponding amino acid is attached (by aminoacyl-tRNA synthetases). tRNAs cope with the degeneracy of the genetic code in two manners: having more than one tRNA (with a specific anti-codon) for a particular amino acid; and 'wobble' base-pairing, i.e. permitting non-standard base-pairing at the 3rd anti-codon position. RNAcentral also lists the same sequence under 2 other names. Lineage: Bacteria; Pseudomonadati; Spirochaetota; Spirochaetia; Treponematales; Treponemataceae. The record is from RNAcentral.